GCCAGUGUGGCAUAGUAGUUUGAGUGUUGAACUAUGACUAUGGAGACCAGGGUUCGAUUCCCAGCUUGUCC
Molecule: non-coding RNA, 71 nt
Organism: Phrynosoma platyrhinos (Desert horned lizard)
Lineage: Eukaryota; Metazoa; Chordata; Lepidosauria; Squamata; Phrynosomatidae
Source: the annotation of a GenBank genome assembly